GGAGAGAGAAAACGCCAGCCAGCUGAAAAGCCAGGAGAAAGCAGCAGAGAAAGAUGGUUUUGUAACCCAUAUCUCCCUUCAGGCUAUUCAUGCAAUACUGUUUAUUUCACAUCUGCAAAACUGGGCCUCCCUUUUUUGGAAUGAUGUUUCUUCUGAUUUCAAGGAGAUAAGAAGACAAAAGACCCUGAUCCUAAACAAAAGAAAAUCAGAUGUAGACUUGGAUGGAAUAGAAUAUAUUCUAUUUGGGCUUGGAUUGAAAUAGUUCUUCAAAUGAGGAGAUCAAGAUUAAGACUGCUGAACUGAUAAAGGUAAAGUUUGCCCCUAUGUAAAGCCAUGAUUUUACACUUCUAAAAAAGUAUUCAAUUCUUUAUAAAUAUUAGAUACACUUUAGCUCUCAACAUAAUCCUGUGUUCUGGGG
Molecule: long non-coding RNA, 418 nt
Filed under: Zonotrichia albicollis (white-throated sparrow)
Lineage: Eukaryota; Metazoa; Chordata; Aves; Passeriformes; Passerellidae
Description: lncRNA (ENSZALG00000012274.1)
Source: RNAcentral